AGUGAACGCUGGCGGUAGGCCUAACACAUGCAAGUCGAACGGCAGCACAGUAAGAGCUUGCUCUUACGGGUGGCGAGUGGCGGACGGGUGAGGAAUACAUCGGAAUCUACUUUUUCGUGGGGGAUAACGUAGGGAAACUUACGCUAAUACCGCAUACGACCUACGGGUGAAAGCAGGGGAUCUUCGGACCUUGCGCGAUUGAAUGAGCCGAUGUCGGAUUAGCUAGUUGGCGGGGUAAAGGCACACCAAAGCGACGAUCCGUAGCUGGUCUGAGAGGAUGAUCAGCCACACUGGAACUGAGACACGGUCCAGACUCCUACGGGAGGCAGCAGUGGGGAAUAUUGGACAAUGGGCGCAAGCCUGAUCCAGCCAUACCGCGUGGGUGAAGAAGGCCUUCGGGUUGUAAAGCCCUUUUGUUGGGAAAGAAAAGCAGCAGGUUAAUACCCCGCUGUUCUGACGGUACCCAAAGAAUAAGCACCGGCUAACUUCGUG
Molecule: ribosomal RNA, 492 nt
Filed under: uncultured bacterium
Lineage: Bacteria
Description: partial 16S ribosomal RNA
Rfam family: Bacterial small subunit ribosomal RNA
Source: RNAcentral